Long non-coding RNA from Leopardus geoffroyi (Geoffroy's cat), 1399 nucleotides. RefSeq lists it as uncharacterized. The transcript has 2 exons. The record is from RefSeq and is a predicted model, not a curated record. Lineage: Eukaryota; Metazoa; Chordata; Mammalia; Carnivora; Felidae.
GCCGCGGGCAGAGGCGGAGGUGGGGGAGGAGGGGAGGUUGAGGCACACAGCCCGUGAGACUCGUCUGCCCAGGUGUCUGGUCCUUCUGCCUCUCAGCCGCCACUGGUCCUUCCUUUCCCGGCGCCCCAGGCUGCAAACCAAGGUGGCUCGGCUGACGUCUUUCUUCAUACCCACGUAGACGCACAUCACUGGGACCGGCCCCUCCUCCUGGGGCCACCUCUGCACCCGAGGGCCCAGUGUGUCCUGUGCUCACGUCCAUUCAUCCGCGGCAUUUCCUAGUUUCCCUGUGACCCCUGUGCCCCCAGCUGCUGGGGAGGGCGUUGUGUCCCACGCUGGGGACGCCCCUGCUUUGUGGGGUGGGGGGCCACGGCCAGGACUGGCCCCAGCAGCAGAGGCGCACGCAGCACGUCAGAGACGGUCACGUUCAAACGCAGAGCGUCCUCAGUGAGCGUGAGAAUUGUAACGUCAGUGGGAGUGGGGGUCUUGCCCGUAAUCCCAGUUUUCCGCGUAUGGAUUGUGAGUUUCUGAACGCGUUUCUGCACGAAUUUAAAGUGCCGUCAGAUAGGGGUGGCAGCACCGGGCUCGGGUGUGGUGGCUGCGGCCGCAGGGCUGGCGCUGGCCCCGCUCUGUGGCCUCCUGACGUCCCUCGUCUGACCGAGGACAGUACAGGCCACGCCGUGCGAGAACGUUCUCGUCGCAGUAAUGCUGCCCAGGCUCCUCCCCUGAGAGGUCGGGAUUGGGGGGGGGGGGGGACUCCCCGGUGCUCCAACACUCCCUCCAGUCACGGUGGCAGCACGGCGUGUGGGGUGGGCCCUUGGGGUCCCUCUGAGAAAUGACAGUUGUAACCAGCGUGCGCUUGUCCACAGGACACACGCGGGCCGCAAAUCCUCACUGCCCAUCGUGCAGACAGGAGGAGCCUCCCAGCCGGGUCCUGGAACAUCCCCAGAAACGGGGGCACAGCCUGGUGCCUGCACUCGGGGCGCGGGGCAGGACCCGGCCUAUGGAUCGCAGACCCUCCUCUGCCGGUAGUAACCACAGGCGCCUGCUUGGAAACCCCGCGUGAGAACUUGCUUCCGGCUGAUUCCUGGGAGCGCACGGCCGUCUCGGGGCAUCUGGGGCAGAAGGGCACCCUGGAAACGACACGGCCCGGGCCUUCCCAUCCGGCAGGAAGCGAGCUGCUUCUGAACACUCAGAGCCGCGUGUCACACACACGUGUGCUGCCCCUUUGUGGGACGGGACACAAGACAGUAGACCUGCAGUUUGCUGACCGGGGCAUUCGAGGCUUCAAAAUGGUUUCGUGUUCCCCAAAUCGCUCCCGAGGCUGUUUUCCACGUCAGGGCCCGUCUGGCGUGUGGUCCAGUGACACUCAAGGGCAGACAAAUAAAUCCUCCCCUGACAA